This 5166-nucleotide long non-coding RNA is filed under the name Brassica napus (rape). Its description in RNAcentral is "long non-coding RNA (BNAP_LNC008324)". The record is from RNAcentral. Lineage: Eukaryota; Viridiplantae; Streptophyta; Magnoliopsida; Brassicales; Brassicaceae.
GUUGCUUUGUGGUUGAGCCUAGGCACGGCAAGCAUACCUUGUGGGCAAUAAGGCCUUGGCUAAAGAUCUAAGCGCCAAGGGACAGAUGCAUAACAUGCAGAUGAAGGCUGCUCAUGGGAAAGCUCAAGAAGCCAUUUAUCGUCAGAGGUUUUGACUUCUUUAAUCUCAAAACAGAAGAGUCUCUCUGCUUUUUACCCAUUAACAUAAUAACCAAACUGUUAUGUUUCUCUUUCUCUCUGACUGUUCUAACCUGCCUUAUGAGCAAUACACAGGAACCCGGUGGGUCAAGGGAACAACAGUAGAGGGAGCGAAAGAAUGAUAGACUUGCACGGGCUACAUGUUAGCGAAGCACUUCAGGUGUUGAAGCACGAGCUGAGCGUGUUGAGGAGCACAGCUCGAGCAACACAAGAGAGGCUUCAGGUUUACAUAUGCGUAGGGACUGGCCACCACACAAGGGGCUCCCGCACACUGGCUAGGCUCCCAUUAUGAAAUACAUAAAAGAUAUUAUUCUUAACCAUUAUUUUGUAAACUAGGUGUUUUUGUACACCAUAUUCAGUACUAAAAAAUUAAAUUAAUUUUUUUUUAAUUUUUUAAUAUUUAGAUUUUAUUAUUUUUCACCAAUAUUUUGAUAUAAUUUUUUAUUAAGCUAUAAACAUAAAAAUAAAAUAAAAUGAAUAAUUUUGUUUAUUUUAAAUUAUAUUUAAGAAUAUCUAUCUAUAUAUGUAAAAUUAUAAUUUUAGAUAGAUUUUUUAUCUGUUUACUUUUGCUAAAAUAUAUUUAAUCAACUUGUAGAAAAUUAAGAAAAAAAAUUUGGAUAUUAAAAUUAUUAAAAAGUAAAAAUAAACAGUAUUUCUAAAAUUUGUAGAUAUAUAAAGGAAAUUAAUGAUAUUAUGAUUAAAAAUUAUAAUGUUUUAAAAAAAAUUGUAGAAAAUUUUGAAAAAUAGUAAUAAAAAUUGUAUAAUCAUAAAAAUAGAACUAAGUAAUUUUAGAAAUUGGUAAAGUAUAAAGUAUUGUCAUAUUUAAAUAGAUUUAUUUUAAUGAAUGAUAUAUGAGUUAUUAACACAGUCUAAAUUUUUUACCAUAAAUAUAAAUUAACAUUAAAUGUAAUUGUUUAUGUCAUAUUUAGUCAUAUAUCAUAUUGUCAUUUAUAGUAUGUCUUGUCACAUGAGUUUGUUUAUGUUGUUGACAAAAAAAAAUUAUAGUAUGCCUUGUCACAUUUUUAAAGAAAGAUUUUGUAGAAAGUACACAUAGGCAAAGUAUGAAAAUCAUUUAGAAAGAAAAGCUUUUAUUAUAAUAAAUUAUAAAAUCCAACAAAUUGAAUAUACUAUAUUUUUAAAAUUACACAUUUCAGCUUAAAUACAAAUGACGGUUUUAGACAAAAAUAAUGAAAUUGGUAUAAAAAUAUAAUAAGUUAAUUUCAUUAAAUUAAUUUUGGUAAAAAAUAUUGUCAACAUUUAAAGCACAGUUGAAUUAGUACAUAUUUAAUAAUUAAUAAAGUGUGAUGAAGAUUGAAGAUGGAAACUAAUGAAAUAUUUUAUUUUAAUUCGCGUUUUAAAAGUGCAGGAUAUUUUUGCAUUGCAAAAUCUAAAAUAGACAUAUCCGUGUUAUUUAAACUCAUACCAUUUUUGGUCGAUCUUAAUUAUAUUCCAAACUUGUUUAGACUAAAAUCCACAGAAAUUUUUAUAGAUUCCAUUAAUUUUUUUUUGCUUACAUGGGACAUUUAUUUCACAACAAUAAUUAUAAAUUAUAUGUAUAAGCAACCACCCGUUUCUGAUAACCAAACUUAAAGUAUAGAAUUAAUAUAUAAAAAUAGCAAAAAAAAAACUCAGAGCACUACGUGUAAAUCUGUCCAUGAUUGUGUUAUAUGCAUUUAUAUGAGAUACAGUUUUAUCAAAAUAUUAGAGAAAUUGUUUAUGCUAAAAAUAGUAAGAAACAAUAACUUCUGUAAAUAUUAUUUGUUAUAUAUGAUAAAUUAUUUAUUAGGAACGCUGAUGUUAAAAUAUGGUGGAUACAUUUGUUACAUAUUUUGAAAUGUAGGUUAGAGAGUGCAAUGUUAUGGACAUAUAUUUUCUAAGUUCAUAUAUUUUUUAAAAUGCGGGAAAAGAAAAUAUUGUUAUUAUUUGGGGCGGAUAUUUAUUAGUUUUGUUAAUAAAUAGAGUUUUUUUUUUGUUUUAAGAAUAUUUGUGUAGAAUAAAAAUAAUGUUAGAUUUUAUAUAGUAAGAUUAAACCAAGACUAGAAGGGGAAAAUCAGGUAUCGUUGUGUCCCAUUUAAAAAGAAAAAAUCUACACAAUUAAAACACUCAAUCUUUGUUUUCCUUCUAAUCCUGUUAUUCAAAAAAAUAAUUAUAUAGUGUUAGAUAUUUGUUUUAAUAGUAUAAGAUUAAAACAAAGAUUAGAAGGGAAAAAAAAAGGAAGGUCAAAAUCGAGAGAGGGUUGGGGUGUGGUCUUAGAUACGAUAAUCUUGUGGUGGUCGUAGGUGUUGCAUCUUGAGCCAAACACACACGAAAGAGAAAGAGAGAGUAUUAGAGAUUAGAGAUGAAGACGACGACGACGCUUACCCAAAGCUCGAAUCCCUAGGUAUACAUACAUACUUUAAAAGCCACAAAACUCCCCCUGGAAAAAAGUUAUCUCUCUCGUUUUCCGCAGCCUUUUCUUUUACUCCUGAAUCUCGUGUUUUCAUGGAUCCACUCUUUCUCUUCCUCAAAGGUUUCCGAUUUAUUUUCUCAUCUUGAUUCGCGACUUUCUUCCACUUUCUUGGUUUUAAAUUUCACUAACGAUUCAGUUAUUGUAGUUGUGUCUCAGAUUCGAAGCUAAUUAAUUGCGUUUGUCUCCUACGAAACACUUGAGAUUUAUUUAUUUAUUCAUAAAUUAAAAGCUGCAAUGCCUUUGACUUAUAUGAACUGAAAGUGUUUUAUCUUUUUUUCUUUCCUUGUAAAUAUUUGAUUUAUGUUUUUUUGUUUCUUUUCUAGGUAACAUUUGAGUAGUAGUGAUAAAGGUUAAUUCUUUUGCAGGUUUUGGCUAAUAAACAAAGCAGUUAAAAUCGGUUGUGUCUCAUUUUAAAUUUCGAUAUGAACUUAAGCAAGAAAGCAACGACGACCCCGUCAAGUGAUCCAAAGCUAAAGCCUACAACUUUGAACCCUCAUGCUGCUGAGUUUGUUCCCUUUACUCUACGCUCUACUAGUACUACUACUACUACAAGCAACUUGGAUGUUACGACACCAAGACUUUUAGCUUCCUCCAGCUCUGUUCUGGACCGGUCGGAGUCAUCUGCAUCGCGUCAUUCAGAUGAAGAAGCGCGCCAGUUCUGGAGUCACCAGCUUCCUGAUGAUAUCACUCCAGAUUUCAAGCUCAUGACUACUCAAGAUGACACUUCCUAUGGUGCUUCUGGGAGUUUGUCACUAGCUGGCUUGUCCUUGUAUGACGCUGAGAACUUUCCUUCUCCUAGUGGAGGAGGUGGAGGAGGAGGAGGGUUUGUGUUUUCUGACCAACCACAUGGGCAUAACUUGUCGGACAAGAGUAGAUAUCCCAUCUCCUCGUUCGGGGAAGAUCAGAGUUUCAGUCCAAAGCCUUGGGAUAAGCAGAUUAUGAGUGCUGAGAAGCAGCUUCUUGGUGGUAAUGAUGACAGGGAGAGAAGAAACCCUUUUGGUCGAUUCAUGGUUUCCGAGAAUCCAAGUAUAGGGGAAAUGGAGGUGAACCCUGUGGAGUUUCUUGCUUCUCAGUUCCCUGGAUUUGCUGCUGAGAGUCUUGCUGAGGUUUAUUUUGCUAAUGGGUGUGAUUUGCAGUUGACCGUUGAGAUGCUUACUCAGCUUGAGGUAUUCUCCCUAGCUUUCUGCUUCUCUUCCUGUGAAACUCAUUAUUCCUUGUGAACAUAUGGUUCAAUGUUGAUGCAAUUGAAUGUGUUGAUGUCCUUUUUUUUGCUCUAAUCAUGUUGUUUUGCAACUUUAUGAAUGUUUUGUUCAUUCGAGUGAUUUGGUUAUGUUUGUACUGCAGCUACAAGUGGAUAAUGGUUUGAAUCAGAACAUGAGGCCUAAGAUUCCUGCUCCUGCUCCGGCUCCUAAUCUAACUCCCAUGGAUUUUCCUGCCCUAAGCCCUGCACAGUUUGGUGGGGAUGAUAUGCAACAAACAGGGAACCAUUACCAAUCUGCUGGAAAGGAUAAUAUGUUUUUCUUCAAGCCAGAUUAUGUUUCUGCAGUCAAGAAGUUGGCAUCCCAAGAUACUGGCCUGUGGAAAUAUGAAGGAAACGGUUCAGGAGACUCAUCUAUUGGCGGAUCAAGCAGAAAUUAUCAUGCUGGGGGUGGGCGUGGGCCUGCGAGGAGUAUAUAUUCUGAUAAGCUGUCCUCAAAUCGAGCUACUCCUGUCGCCUGGCUGGAGACCGGGGACGCAGUUGGUAUAUCUCCCCCCUUUUCAACAAAACAUUACCACCCUAUAUAUACUACAUAUGUUGUUAUCUGAUUGGAUGUAAAUUGCAGGGAAUCUGUAUUCUGACUUGCGCGGGGAAGCACGUGACUAUGCUCGUCUUCGGAAUGUAUACUUCGAACAGGUAUAAAUACUUUCGAAUGGCAUUUUUUUUUUCUCAUUUAUUUGACCUCUAGUUUUCCUGUAUUCACUUUCUGUUGUGUAGCUGGAAGCUCUAUUUGAUCUCUCUCUUUUGCUCAUACUUCUUCAGUAGUGAAUAAAAGGGUCUUUAUCUGCAAGUUUUAGAUGAUAGUUUCAGCUCUUUCUCACCGGGUUGAAUAAUUAAAUACGGUUCUGUAUUAAUCAUAAUUUGAUGUUGCUUUGUGGUUGAGCCUAGGCACGGCAAGCAUACCUUGUGGGCAAUAAGGCCUUGGCUAAAGAUCUAAGCGCCAAGGGACAGAUGCAUAACAUGCAGAUGAAGGCUGCUCAUGGGAAAGCUCAAGAAGCCAUUUAUCGUCAGAGGUUUUGACUUCUUUAAUCUCAAAACAGAAGUCUCUCUGCUUUUUACCCAUUAACAUAAUAACCAAACUGUUAUGUUUCUCUUUCUCUCUGACUGUUCUAACCUGCCUUAUGAGCAAUACACAGGAACCCGGUGGGUCAAGGGAACAACAGUAGAGGGAGCGAAAGAAUGAUAGACUUGCACGGGCUACAUGUUAGCGAAGCACUUCAGGUGUUGAAGCACGAGCUGAGCGUGUUGAGGAGCACAGCUCG